This 198-nucleotide ribosomal RNA is filed under the name uncultured bacterium. Its description in RNAcentral is "partial 16S ribosomal RNA". It matches the Rfam family "Bacterial small subunit ribosomal RNA", at positions 1303 to 1500 of the family's 1533-position model. The record is from RNAcentral.
GGCUGCAACCCGCCUGUAUGAAGUUGGAAUCGCUAGUAAUCGCGGAUCAGCAUGCCGCGGUGAAUACGUUCCCGGGCCUUGUACACACCGCCCGUCACACCAUGAGAGUCGGGAACACCCGAAGUCCGUAGUCUAACCGCAAGGGGGACGCGGCCGAAGGUGGGUUCGAUAAUUGGGGUGAAGUCGUAACAAGGUACC